This 528-nucleotide ribosomal RNA is filed under the name uncultured bacterium. RNAcentral's name for it is "bacterial SSU rRNA". It matches the Rfam family "Bacterial small subunit ribosomal RNA", at positions 45 to 518 of the family's 1533-position model. The record is from RNAcentral.
UGCCUAAGACAUGCAAGUCGUACGAGGCGGCCCACUGAUUCAGAUUGAGAUCUGGAGUGCUUGCACAAAGGAAGGAUUCUGAUGACGUGGAUCCUCCGCCUAGUGGCAAACGGGUGAGUAACACGUGGGUUACCUGCCUCAUAGACCGGGAUACCGUUUGGAAACGAACGUUAAUACCGGAUGUUGUCUACGGACUAAAGGGAGCCUUUAAAGCUCCGCUAUGAGAUGGGCCUGCGGUGCAUUAGAUAGUUGGUGAGGUAACGGCCCACCAAGUCGACGAUGCAUAGCUGAACUGAGAGGUUGAUCGGCCACACUGGGACUGAUACACGGCCCAGACUCCUACGGGAGACAGCAGUUAGGAAUAUUCGUCAAUGGGGGAAACCCUGAACGAGCAAUGCCGCGUGAAAUGAUGAAGGCCCUAUGGGUUGUAAAAUUCUGUUGUUUGGGAAGAACUACAGAAAUAGGAAAUGAUUUCUGUUUGACGGUACCAUUCAAGAAAGCUCCGGCUAACUACGUGCCAGCCGCCGC